Molecule: long non-coding RNA, 236 nt
Filed under: Elaeis guineensis (African oil palm)
Lineage: Eukaryota; Viridiplantae; Streptophyta; Magnoliopsida; Arecales; Arecaceae
Description: long non-coding RNA (EGUI_LNC068079)
Source: RNAcentral
UAGCAUACAGAUGAGAUGUAGGGGUACAUUAUCACUGAAUAAGUGACUCACUUAUAAAGCACUCUGCUGUCAAGAGUAGCUCAUGAAGCAUAUGAACAUUCCCACAUAAGCCCUGAAAACUAAUCAUCUGUGCCCAUCGUCUCCACAGAGAAUCCAUUUGAUCAAAAAAAGCAAAGAACGGGAGACGUGAGAGAGGGGGAGGAAAGGAGGGAGGUGUGAGAGAGGGAGAACGCAUG